GCUGCGCGGCGGGCGGAGGGCUCAGCGUGCGGCGCCCGGACUCAGCAGGCGGCGCGCAUGGCUGGGCGCGGGCUGGGCAGGGCUGGGACGCGGGGCCGGCUGUGUGUGCUGGGGAGGCUCUGCCGCUCUUCUUCCUCAGCUCGGACGCCUGCUCGCCGCCACUGCCACCUCUGCCGCCGCCGCCUCUACAUCCCGGCUCAAGCUACGCCGCCUCUGCCGCCGCCACCGCGCGCCCGCCCGGCCAGGAGCUCUGAACGCUGCCCGGGGGCUGCCGGCAAAACCCGGACCGGACUCGCCGCUCUCUCCUCCCCCCUCCACCUCCGCUCCCCUCCCUCCUCCCGCCGCCUCCCUCCCAGCGCAGCUCUGGCCACUUGGACGCCGCUGCCGCUGAGGCUGGAGCCACAGCCACUGCGCCUCCAGCUCCCCGCGCCCUGGUGAGUUCACAGAUGAGGAAACUGACUGAGAAGAUACCAGCCCAAUCUCUGGGUCGACUACAUAGUGAUGCCCCAGGACCGUGGCCUAUACAGUGGAGUCUGAAACUGCCUGGAACGCAGCAUCACACAGGAGAUACUGGUUGAAAAAGAGCUGGAAAGCUCAUCCCUGCUGGAGGAGGUGCCCAGUGGGGAUGGACAGACUUGGGGCCAUACAUCUCGGCCCUUACUCCCAUCUGUGCCCCCUCCAUCUGCCCAGUUUAAGCUAAUCCUCCAGCUGCAGAUGCUUUCCUUCCAGGGACCCACAGAGUGAGCCCCAGGCUCCCAUAAUCCCAAACUGUCUAUAAUCCCGAAGUGGAAGUUCUCCAAUUCUCUGGGAUUUAGGGGGGCAGAAUGGUACUGCAAGCUGAAAGUCAGGCCAGGCAGAGAAAACAAUCCCCAGGCUCAAGAUGAAGGAGAGGGAGGGACAGAGCAGUUAGGAAGCUGGCCCAGAGCCAGGCAUGGUGGUGCACAUCUGUAAUCCCAGU
Chinchilla lanigera (long-tailed chinchilla) is the source of this 958-nucleotide RNA transcript. It is a transcript of the gene named serine/arginine repetitive matrix protein 1-like, with no coding region annotated. The record is from RefSeq and is a predicted model, not a curated record. Lineage: Eukaryota; Metazoa; Chordata; Mammalia; Rodentia; Chinchillidae. The transcript is spliced from 2 exons.